AAAUUGAAGAGUUUGAUCAUGGCUCAGAUUGAACGCUGGCGGCAGGCCUAACACAUGCAAGUCGAACGGUAACAGGAAGCAGCUUGCUGCUUCGCUGACGAGUGGCGGACGGGUGAGUAAUGUCUGGGAAACUGCCUGAUGGAGGGGGAUAACUACUGGAAACGGUAGCUAAUACCGCAUAACGUCGCAAGACCAAAGAGGGGGACCUUCGGGCCUCUUACCAUCGGAUGUGCCCAGAUGGGAUUAGCUAGUAGGUGGGGUAACGGCUCACCUAGGCGACGAUCCCUAGCUGGUCUGAGAGGAUGACCAGCCACACUGGAACUGAGACACGGUCCAGACUCCUACGGGAGGCAGCAGUGGGGAAUAUUGCACAAUGGGCGCAAGCCUGAUGCAGCCAUGCCGCGUGUAUGAAGAAGGCCUUCGGGUUGUAAAGUACUUUCAGCGGGGAGGAAGGGAGUAAAGUUAAUACCUUUGCUCAUUGACGUUACCCGCAGAAGAAGCACCGGCUAACUCCGUGCCAGCAGCCGCGGUAAUACGGAGGGUGCAAGCGUUAAUCGGAAUUACUGGGCGUAAAGCGCACGCAGGCGGUUUGUUAAGU
RNAcentral lists this ribosomal RNA (598 nucleotides) under Escherichia coli. Its description in RNAcentral is "bacterial SSU rRNA". It matches the Rfam family "Bacterial small subunit ribosomal RNA", at positions 1 to 588 of the family's 1533-position model. The record is from RNAcentral. Lineage: Bacteria; Pseudomonadati; Pseudomonadota; Gammaproteobacteria; Enterobacterales; Enterobacteriaceae.